Schistosoma rodhaini is the source of this 46-nucleotide non-coding RNA. The record is from Rfam. Lineage: Eukaryota; Metazoa; Platyhelminthes; Trematoda; Strigeidida; Schistosomatidae.
GCACUGCUGAUGAGUCCCAUAAUAGGACGAAACGGCCGUCCAGUGC